RNAcentral lists this long non-coding RNA (215 nucleotides) under Mytilus galloprovincialis (Mediterranean mussel). The record is from RNAcentral. Lineage: Eukaryota; Metazoa; Mollusca; Bivalvia; Mytilida; Mytilidae.
GCGAAUCGUACAAGUUGAGAUAUAUAAACACCGUAAGAUGGUGACAAGGGAACGUCACCAUCUAAAAAUGGAUAAUUAACGAUAGGAAAUGAAAAAUCAUCUCUUUUAUCAUAAAUUUGAGUAUUCAGCUUUCUGUUAGUGAUAUAGAUAUCAAGAUCGAGGAAAGGACAGUGGUCAUUGUUAGUAUUAGCUUUAUUUAAAGUAAGUUCAGCAGG